AACGAACGCUGGCGGCAUGCCUAACACAUGCAAGUCGAACGAGAUCUUCGGGUCUAGUGGCGCACGGGUGCGUAACGCGUGGGAAUCUGCCCUUUGGUUCGGAAUAACAGUUGGAAACGACUGCUAAUACCGGAUGAUGACGAAAGUCCAAAGAUCUCUCGCCAGAGGAUGAGCCCGCGUAGGAUUAGCUAGUUGGUGUGGUAAAGGCGCACCAAGGCGACGAUCCUUAGCUGGUCUGAGAGGAUGAUCAGCCACACUGGGACUGAAACACGGCCCAGACUCCUACGGGAGGCAGCAGUGGGGAAUAUUGGACAAUGGGCGAAAGCCUGAUCCAGCAAUGCCGCGUGAGUGAUGAAGGCCUUAGGGUUGUGAAGCUCUUUUACCCGGGAUGAUAAUGACAGUACCGGGAGAAUAAGCUCCGGCUAACUCCGUGCCAGCCGCCGCAGUAA
Molecule: ribosomal RNA, 449 nt
Filed under: uncultured bacterium
Lineage: Bacteria
Description: partial 16S ribosomal RNA
Rfam family: Bacterial small subunit ribosomal RNA
Source: RNAcentral